UAUAAAGAAUAGGCCCUCACUCACUCAAAACAGACAAUCAUCAGAAUUAGGCAAUUUUAAAAAGGCAUUUUUGAAACACUAAGGAAUUCUGGAAAAAAGUUUGAUUUUCAUACUGAUUUUUCUUCCUUUUUCUGAGUUUUCCUAGUGAAUCUGAAAACAGAAAUAGCUCCAUGGUUUUCUAGUUCAUGAUCCCUGCCAUUUAAAGUUGGUUUUAGUCAAAAUUCUGGGGUUUUGUUGCUGUUCUAAUUGUUGCUGUUGUUUCUGUUCAUCAUUCUGGGAUUCAAGCUGUCAUCCUAUCUUCUGCUGCUGACCUGUUGUGAGCAAAUUUAGUAGUUGAUUUCUUUGAUCUUUAUUUGGCAAAGGCUCAGAUUCAUUUUCGAGCUUAGGUUUUGCCUGAAUGAUGGCUAAGCUAUGUCUAGUGUUGAAGCAUACAUGGCCGUUGUUUUAGGUUUAUUGUCAAUGCUAAUAGUUUAGUAGUUACCUUCAUCAAUAAGUUGAUUUUGAGAGCAUUUGAUUGUUGUCAAAAUUAAAAUGGCCACUGAUAUUUUUUUUCUAAGCCAUGAUUAAUUGGGUUUGAUAUUAAGGUUGUAUUUAAUUAUUUUGUAAGAAUUUUCUUUUAACAAUUGCUAGACAUAGCAUAGUUAUUAGAGUGUUCUUUCAGAGUCCAUAGAAUUUGGACUCGACCUUAAGUAACUCCAAUGGGCUUUGUUACAGUGAUGCAGGAAAGCCCAUUUAGCUGGUCUAUUUGGUUGCAAUUCUGGACUCAGAUAAGCGUGUCUGUAGUUUUAAAAUAGUUUGUGUUUGUUCUUUUCUUUACAUUAAUAUACGAGAAGAAGGUGGUUUGUUCCUCACAAACAUCAAGCAAUCUUGUAACUUCCCUGUGAAUCAAAGUUACACGAAUACAGGUUUCCCCACUUCAAAUGG
Nicotiana tabacum (common tobacco) is the source of this 924-nucleotide long non-coding RNA. RefSeq lists it as uncharacterized. Lineage: Eukaryota; Viridiplantae; Streptophyta; Magnoliopsida; Solanales; Solanaceae. The record is from RefSeq and is a predicted model, not a curated record.